UGAUUCUUCCCACAAGUAGCGCACUCUCCGCGCUUAGUAUCCGAUUUGGUGUCCUCCACCUUAUCAAAUUUCCUCUUCUUGUCCAUCGGUUUCGUUGGCUGCGAAGGACGCGACGAAAACUUCUCCGGUUUCAUCCGUUUCUCCUCCUCAAGCCCAGCUUCGAUCAUGGCUGCCCUCUCAACCAAUUCGGACACCGAAGUAAAGGUUCGAAUCAAGCAAUGGUUACGGAUCUCGAUCCUUAGUCCUCAGAUGAAACGACGAACUUGAGCUUGUUCAUCCUCGAGUUCUCUCCCCACAUAUCGCCUAAGACGAUUGAACUCUUCGUCAUACUCGCGCACCGUUCGAUUCCCUUGAACCAAAUCCAAGUAGGCGCACUCGAGUCUGUCCCAAGCCUCCGGUGGGAAGAACUUCUUGUUGAAUUCUUCCUCAAAAUCCGCGAAGGAUUGGAUUUGAUCACCUUUCCGUUUCUCGACGGUUAGCCACCAGUUAUGUGCAUCGCCCUCCAAGAAGUGGAUCGCAAUGUCCUUCCGGUAAUCCUCCGGGCAUCGAGUGGAGUUAAAGUUUCUUUUGAGCCGAGUCCUCCACUCAUCC
RNAcentral lists this long non-coding RNA (591 nucleotides) under Arabidopsis lyrata. Its description in RNAcentral is "long non-coding RNA (ALYR_LNC003357)". Lineage: Eukaryota; Viridiplantae; Streptophyta; Magnoliopsida; Brassicales; Brassicaceae. The record is from RNAcentral.